UUCAGGCCUAACACAUGCAAGUCGAACGAGAAAGUGGAGCUUGCUUCACGAGUACAGUGGCAGACGGGUGAGUAACACGUGAACAACCUACCCUCGAGUGGGGAAUAACACCGCGAAAGCGGUGCUAAUACCGCAUAAUAUCUCUGAACCGCAUGGUUUUGAGAUCAAAAGCGCAAGUUGCUUGAGGAGGGGUUCGCGCCUGAUUAGCUUGUUGGUGAGGUAACGGCUCACCAAGGCUGCGAUCAGUAGCCGGCCUGAGAGGGUGAACGGCCACACUGGAACUGAGACACGGUCCAGACUCCUACGGGAGGCAGCAGUGGGGAAUUUUGCGCAAUGGGCGAAAGCCUGACGCAGCAACGCCGCGUGGAGGAUGAAGGCCCUCGGGUCGUAAACUCCUGUCAGUGGGGACGAAUGCUUCGUAAGAAGUUUGACUGUACCCAUUGAGGAAGCCACGGCUAACUCCGUGCCAGCAGCCGCGGUAAUACGGAGGUGGCAAGCGUUGUUCGGAAUUACUGGGCGUAAAGGGCGCGUAGGCUGUUUUACAAGUCAGAUGUGAAAUCCCCGAGCUUAACUUGGGAAUUGCAUCUGAAACUGUUGAACUUGAGUCCUGGAGGGGGUAGCGGAAUUCCCAGUGUAGCGGUGAAAUGCGUAGAUAUUGGGAGGAACACCUGCGGCGAAGGCGGCUACCUGGACAGUGACUGACGCUGAGGCGCGAAAGCUAGGGGAGCGAACGGGAUUAGAUACCCCGGUAGUCCUAGCCGUAAACGAUGGGCACUUGGUGUUGGGGGUAUUGAGUCCCUCGGUGCCGGAGUUAACACGUUAAGUGCCCCGCCUGGGGAGUACGGUCGCAAGACUGAAACUCAAAGGAAUUGACGGGGGCCCGCACAAGCGGUGGAGCAUGUGGUUCAAUUCGACGCAACGCGAAGAACCUUACCAGGGCUUGAACUGUAACUGCUACUCGUAGAAAC
RNAcentral lists this ribosomal RNA (968 nucleotides) under uncultured bacterium. RNAcentral describes it as "bacterial SSU rRNA". It matches the Rfam family "Bacterial small subunit ribosomal RNA", at positions 41 to 1008 of the family's 1533-position model. The record is from RNAcentral.